Molecule: ribosomal RNA, 746 nt
Filed under: uncultured marine bacterium
Lineage: Bacteria
Description: bacterial SSU rRNA
Rfam family: Bacterial small subunit ribosomal RNA
Source: RNAcentral
AUACUGAGUGGCAAACGGGUGAGUAUAAUGUGGGAAUCUGCCUUUUGGUUUGGAAUAACACGGGGAAACUUGUGCUAAUACUGAAUAAGCCUUUACAGGGAAAGUUUUAACGCCGAAAGAUGAGCCCGCACUUGAUUAGCUAGUUGGUAAGGUAAAAGCUUACCAAGGCAACGAUCAAUAGCUGUUCUUAGAGGAAGACCAGCCACAUUGGGACUGAGACACGGCCCAGACUCCUACGGGAGGCAGCAGUGGGGAAUCUUGCACAAUGGGGGAAACCCUGAUGCAGCGAUGCCGCGUGAGUGAAGAAGGCCCUUGGGUUGUAAAACUCUUUCGUCGGGGAAGAAAAUGACUGUACCCGAAUAAGAAGGUCCGGCUAACUUCGUGCCAGCAGCCGCGGUAAUACGAAGGGACCUAGCGUAGUUCGGAAUUACUGGGCUUAAAGAGCUCGUAGGUGGUUAAAAAAGUUGAUGGUGAAAUCCCAAGGCUUAACCUUGGAACUGCCAUCAAAACUUUUUAGCUAGAGUGUGAUAGAGGUAAGUGGAAUUUCUAGUGUAGAGGUGAAAUUCGUAGAUAUUAGAAAGAACACCAAAUGCGAAGGCAACUUACUGGGUCACUACUGACACUGAGGAGCGAAAGCAUGGGUAGCGAAGAGGAUUAGAUACCCUCGUAGUCCAUGCCGUAAACGAUGUGUGCUAGACGUUGGAAAUAUAUUUUUCAGUGUCGCAGCGAAAGCAUUAAGCACACCG